Molecule: ribosomal RNA, 493 nt
Filed under: uncultured bacterium
Lineage: Bacteria
Description: bacterial SSU rRNA
Rfam family: Bacterial small subunit ribosomal RNA
Source: RNAcentral
GAUGAACGCUAGCGGAAGGCUUAAUACAUGCAAGUCGAGCGGUAGGUGGCUUCGGCCAUUGAGAGCGGCGCACGGGUGAGUAACGCGUACAUGACCUGCCUGUCAGAAGGGGAUAGCCCUGGGAAACUGGGAUUAAUACCCUAUGGUAUUGAUAUUAUGAAUGAUAUCAAUUAAAGUUGAGGCGCUGACAGAUGGAUGUGCGUCUGAUUAGCUAGUUGGUAGGGUAACGGCCUACCAAGGCGACGAUCAGUAGGGGGCGUGAGAGCGUGGUCCCCCACACGGGUACUGAGACACGGACCCGACUCCUACGGGAGGCAGCAGUAAGGAAUAUUGGUCAAUGCCCGCAAGGGUGAACCAGCCAUUCCGCGUGGAGGAUGAAGGCCCUAUGGGUUGUAAACUUCUUUUAGAUGGGAAGAAAAUGCUAGAUGUAUCUGGUACUGACGGUACCAUCAGAAUAAGCACCGGCUAACUUCGUGCCAGCAGCCGCGGUAAU